Molecule: ribosomal RNA, 576 nt
Filed under: uncultured eukaryote
Lineage: Eukaryota
Description: SSU rRNA
Rfam family: Eukaryotic small subunit ribosomal RNA
Source: RNAcentral
GUAGUAUUUAUUAKAUUGAAACCAACCGCUUCGGCGUGAUGUGGUGAUUCAUAAUAAGCUAGCGGAUCGCAUGGCUUUGCCGGCGAUGGAUCAUUCAAGUUUCUGCCCUAUCAGCUUUGGAUUGGUGGGUAUUGGCCACCAAUGGCUUUAACGGGUAACGGGAAAUUGGGGUUUGAUUCCGGAGAGGGGGCCUGAGAGACGGCCACCACAUCCAAGGAAGGCAGCAGGCGCGUAAAUUACCCAAUCAUGACACAUGGAGGUAGUGACAAUAAAUAACAAUGCCGGGCCUUUGUAGGUCUGGCAAUUGGAAUGAGAACAAUUUAAAAUUCUUAUCGAGGAUCAAUUGGAGGGCAAGUCUGGUGCCAGCAGCCGCGGUAAUUCCAGCUCCAAUAGCGUAUAUUAAAGUUGUUGCARUUAAAAAGCUCGUARUUGGAUUUAUGGCGGUUCCCGGGGUCCAAUUUUUGGUACAUUCGGGGACUGCCAUCCUUGGGUGGAACCUGUGUGGAAUUAAGUUUUCGUGCAGGGGAUGCCCAUCGUUUACUGUGAAAAAAUCASAGUGCUUCAAGCAGGCUUAUG